This 236-nucleotide long non-coding RNA is filed under the name Elaeis guineensis (African oil palm). Its description in RNAcentral is "long non-coding RNA (EGUI_LNC049599)". Lineage: Eukaryota; Viridiplantae; Streptophyta; Magnoliopsida; Arecales; Arecaceae. The record is from RNAcentral.
UCUAGACUAGACACACUUUAAGAGGGUGUUUGGUUGGGGUAAUUAAGGUCUAGAAUGAAAAUUAAAAUAGAUGACUCCCAUUCCCCCUAUUUGGUUGGAGGGAGUCACAUUCCAAUUUCUAUUUUAUAGAGGAAUGGGAAUAAUCUAUUCCUCAUGUAACCAAAUCCAGCUUUAUUUCAAUGGAGUCAAAUCUCAUUCCAGCAGAAUGAGACAAAAAAAAACAUCUGAAUGCAGUC